UAUGACAGACAAGCAUAUGACUACUGGCAGGAUCAACCAGGUAGCACGUCCUCAUCGACGAGCCGACAUGGAGACUGGCACGCGCUAGCCAACUAGUGGCAUGAAGCGGCAAUCACCGAGCCGACUGUCGUACAUUGAGAGAGCUUUCAUUAGGGCCGCGACCGCAACGGGCCACGAGCCUUUAUCAUUUGCAACAUCCGAAACCAAUAGUGCGAGCGAGGUGGCCUUGGAAGCACCGGGCACGUAGGGCACCGACACCACGAGGCAACGCCGCACAAACUAUUAGGCCGCAGCGGAACUCCCUUGGGGGUCCACAGCGAGGCAACCGUGUAUGAAGCAAAACUUCCCGUAGUUUGGGUAGCAGCAUGCAAGCACUCGUCGAUGGAGCGGAAUGGUUAAGAACCGCAAGAAUGAUGGGACAUCGGCGCCAGCAGUCGGCCGCACAUCGGCGGGGGUCCUGCUGGCAGACACGAGUCCAAGACAACUCAUGCGCUCGCGUAGCCAACUGGCC
Molecule: unclassified non-coding RNA, 511 nt
Filed under: Nassella trichotoma
Lineage: Eukaryota; Viridiplantae; Streptophyta; Magnoliopsida; Poales; Poaceae
Description: partial external transcribed spacer 1
Source: RNAcentral